RNAcentral lists this ribosomal RNA (208 nucleotides) under uncultured bacterium. Its description in RNAcentral is "partial 16S ribosomal RNA". It matches the Rfam family "Bacterial small subunit ribosomal RNA", at positions 1293 to 1500 of the family's 1533-position model. The record is from RNAcentral.
UCGGAUCGCAGGCUGNAACCCGCCUGCGUGAAGUCGGAAUCGCUAGUAAUCGCGGAUCAGCAUGCCGCGGUGAAUACGUUCCCGGGCCUUGUACACACCGCCCGUCACACCAUGAGAGUCGGGAACACCCGAAGUCCGUAGCCUAACCGCAAGGAGGGCGCGGCCGAAGGUGGGUUCGAUAAUUGGGGUGAAGUCGUAACAAGGUACC